This 243-nucleotide ribosomal RNA is filed under the name uncultured bacterium. Its description in RNAcentral is "partial 16S ribosomal RNA". It matches the Rfam family "Bacterial small subunit ribosomal RNA", at positions 15 to 240 of the family's 1533-position model. The record is from RNAcentral.
GUUCCUGGCUCAGGACGAACGCUGGCGGCGCGCCUAACACAUGCAAGUCGAACGGAGAUUACAGGCGGAAGUUUUCGGAUGGAAGCUUGUAAACUUAGUGGCGGACGGGUGAGUAACACGUGAGCAACCUGCCUAUCAGAGGGGGAUAACGAUUGGAAACGAUCGCUAAUACCGCAUGACAUAGCGGAACCGCAUGGUUCUGUUAUCAAAGAUUUUAUCGCUGAUAGAUGGGCUCGCGUCCGA